RNAcentral lists this ribosomal RNA (301 nucleotides) under uncultured bacterium. RNAcentral's name for it is "partial 16S ribosomal RNA". It matches the Rfam family "Bacterial small subunit ribosomal RNA", at positions 509 to 809 of the family's 1533-position model. The record is from RNAcentral.
CAGCAGCCGCGGUAAUACAGAGGGUGCGAGCGUUAAUCGGAUUUACUGGGCGUAAAUCGUGCGUAGGCGGCUUCUUAAGUCGGAUGUGAAAUCCCUGAGCUUAACUUAGGAAUUGCAUUCGAUACUGGGAAGCUAGAGUAUGGGAGAGGAUGGUAGAAUUCCAGGUGUAGCGGUGAAAUGCGUAGAGAUCUGGAGGAAUACCGAUGGCGAAGGCAGCCAUCUGGCCUAAUACUGACGCUGAGGUACGAAAGCAUGGGGAGCAAACAGGAUUAGAGACCCCCGUAGUCCCUUCUCUUAUACA